GCAUUUUUGAAGAAUAAAUAUUUAAUGUUUUGACAACAUGAUAAAUACAAUAUUUACCGCUCUUUUUUUCUAAUGAAACACAAGAAUAACUAAUUCCACCAUAGUUUGUACCCGUAGUAUCACAGAAAGAAGCUUGAAUAUAUUUCGUAACGUAACGUUUAUUAUUUACAUAGUAUAUUCGCCUGGAUCCUAAUUUUUGAAAUGAAUUGUACAUUAUUUGACAUAUUAAUCGCAUUCAGUAUGAUGAUAAAAUCAUUGAAGGCAAUUAAUUUAUAUUGAAAUCUUUAUUUUUAAACUCGUAUGGAUAAAAUUAUAUCAUUUAUCGAAUGCGAUAAAGUGUGUCACAAAAGCCACAGUAGUUCAUAUCAUAACAAUUUUACAUACGAUGUUUUAACCUCGCAAUGUAAUAAUUAUGUGAUUUUUAUUAUUAGACAAAUUUGAUGUAGCUUCAUGGCCACUAAUGAAGUUGUUUUUAUACAUUAAUUUUUUUAUUACACUUGUCAAAUUUUCAAAACUCAC
Cinara cedri is the source of this 519-nucleotide non-coding RNA. NCBI's taxonomy places the organism in Eukaryota, Metazoa, Arthropoda, Insecta, Hemiptera, Aphididae. The record is from the annotation of a GenBank genome assembly.